UGGGCUGUAGCUCAGUGGUAGAGCACUUGCCUAGCACAUGUGAGGCACUGGGUUCAAUUCUCAGCACUACAU
RNAcentral lists this transfer RNA (72 nucleotides) under Ictidomys tridecemlineatus (thirteen-lined ground squirrel). Its description in RNAcentral is "Spermophilus tridecemlineatus (thirteen-lined ground squirrel) tRNA". It matches the Rfam family "tRNA". From Rfam's summary of the family: Transfer RNA (tRNA) molecules are approximately 80 nucleotides in length. Their secondary structure includes four short double-helical elements and three loops (D, anti-codon, and T loops). Further hydrogen bonds mediate the characteristic L-shaped molecular structure. tRNAs have two regions of fundamental functional importance: the anti-codon, which is responsible for specific mRNA codon recognition, and the 3' end, to which the tRNAs corresponding amino acid is attached (by aminoacyl-tRNA synthetases). tRNAs cope with the degeneracy of the genetic code in two manners: having more than one tRNA (with a specific anti-codon) for a particular amino acid; and 'wobble' base-pairing, i.e. permitting non-standard base-pairing at the 3rd anti-codon position. The record is from Rfam by way of RNAcentral. Lineage: Eukaryota; Metazoa; Chordata; Mammalia; Rodentia; Sciuridae.